RNAcentral lists this ribosomal RNA (293 nucleotides) under uncultured eukaryote. Its description in RNAcentral is "partial 18S ribosomal RNA". It matches the Rfam family "Eukaryotic small subunit ribosomal RNA", at positions 6 to 303 of the family's 1831-position model. The record is from RNAcentral.
GGUUGAUCCUGCCAGUAGUCAUAUGCUUGUCUCAAAGAUUAAGCCAUGCAUGUCUAAGUAUAAACGACUUUAUACUGUGAAACUGCGUACAGCUCAUUAUAUCAGUUAUAAUUUAUUUGAUGGUGAUUUACUACAUGGAUAACCGUGGUAAUUCUAGAGCUAAUACAUGCGCACAAUCCCGACUCACGAAGGGAUGUAUUUAUUAGAUACAACCGACCUCCUUCGGGAGCCUUUUGUCGACUCAUAGUAACUGUUCGAAUCGCACGCUUCACGCGAGCGAUAGUUCAUUCAAA